CAUAGCCUGACACACACAUCAGAUAUACACACUGGUGUUAUGUCUCGGAGGUAGCACAUGAGACGUGUUGCCCUGGCCAGCUUUACAUUUUGCUUUACAAAUAUUGCAGCGAGCGACGUCUGUGUCAAGUUUUGAAAAGUGUAAGUCAACCACACUUUCAGCUCGCCAGUCACUGUGAAUCUCUCUCUUUGUCUUUCUCUGCCACUGACACGCGCAAAUCAUUCUCUCUUACCCAGAUGCGCUCUCAGGUACCGAAAUUUGGCACCGAUUGAUUUGAUGUGAAUCAGUACUCGGUACCCAACCCUAGCAUCCACCCUCAGGUUCCCACUCAGGUUAGCACUGUUGCCGUUGUUUGCACUGUUAGCAGCGUUAGCUACGAGCCGCCGCCUCAGCCAUGGUCAUGUUGAGAACCAUGUGGAGGCAAUAGAUAUGCUCUGCAUUCUGCAUCAUUUAAAUUAUCCAGUUUUGAAAGACAUCAAGACAGUCUUUGUACCUAUUCAUGUCUCUUUUCAGUCACCACAGAGUGUUCAACUGCACUCUAUGGAGGUCCCCUCUUUGAUAGGUAGACAUCAGCCAGGGUUGUAAUUCCCCUCUUGACAAUUUUCUAAAUAACAUUUUAAAAGCUUUUUUUUUCACUUCUAUGAUGCAAUAUGAAGUGAUUGUUUUUUUUUUUCAAAAUGAUUAGAAAUAGUGGUCCUUCAAAACUCUGUAGAUGAUCUAAUUCUAAUUAUCCCAGGGUGACAUCAGACUGGACAGUUCCAUGCUGGACGGGGUCACAGGAUCGAGGUGGCAUCUGGAGACGAGGCUGUGAACGGUCUAUUAACACAGAGGCUGCGGCUGCCAGAAACACUUGCACAGAACCCACAGAUGAAAGCCAAGCCAGUAAUGACAAACAAAUUAGGUCGGGGCUACACGGAGAUGGAACCUGCAGAUGUGUUCGCUGUCCGUUUCCAGACAUAAAAGCCGUUGUGGCGUCCAGAUUGAAUUACAUUACUCAUUUGCACGGCAGCGCCAGGGCUCCCUUUUCAUUGGGGCAGGCCGGGGCUGUCGGACAAAAGAUCCACUUUAUGAGCUCUGUGCUGUACACGGAGAGCAGAUGCUAGGCAAGGUGAGUUUUACACACCUCAAUGACUCCUUAAGCCCUCUAUCAGUGAGCAAACUGCUCAGAUUUCCACCAUUCUGCUCUAGACUGCACUGCAUCCCUCCAUAAUAAACCUUAUGUGUGAAAA
Sebastes umbrosus (honeycomb rockfish) is the source of this 1229-nucleotide long non-coding RNA. RefSeq lists it as uncharacterized. The transcript has 2 exons. NCBI's taxonomy places the organism in Eukaryota, Metazoa, Chordata, Actinopteri, Perciformes, Sebastidae. The record is from RefSeq and is a predicted model, not a curated record.